Molecule: ribosomal RNA, 371 nt
Filed under: uncultured Coltricia
Lineage: Eukaryota; Fungi; Basidiomycota; Agaricomycetes; Hymenochaetales; Hymenochaetaceae
Description: eukaryotic LSU rRNA
Rfam family: Eukaryotic large subunit ribosomal RNA (bases 316-371)
Source: RNAcentral
CAUCGAAUCUUUGAACGCACCUUGCACUCCUUGGGCAACCUAUGGAGUAUGCCUGUUUGAGUGUCAUGUUAAUAUCAGUUCCCUCAGGUUACAAACUUAGGUGAAUUGGAAUUGGAGGUUCAAUGCAGGUCCCCCUGGGAUCAGCUCCUCUUAAAUGCAUUAGCUGGAGGAUGAAAGCAAAAGUUGCUCUUUAACCACUGUUCAUCUGCUAUGGUGUAAUAAUUGUUCCAUCAUGGCUUUUGGAUGAAUUUAGAAAAGAGCCUCUUAUUGCAGUCUUGCUCUGCUUCUAAUUGUCAGUUGACUUUAUUGACUCUUUGACCUCAAAUCAGGUAGGAUUACCCGCUGAACUUAAGCAUAUCAAUAAGCGGAGG